This is a long non-coding RNA of Calypte anna (Anna's hummingbird), 788 nucleotides long. RefSeq lists it as uncharacterized. NCBI's taxonomy places the organism in Eukaryota, Metazoa, Chordata, Aves, Apodiformes, Trochilidae. The transcript has 3 exons. The record is from RefSeq and is a predicted model, not a curated record.
AGGUGUUCCUCGGGGCCUGCCGGGGUCUGUCCUGGCAUCCGCCUCCCUCGUCGUUCCCCGGGACCCGCACGAAGUUGUAAUUCGGGACCCGGCGGGUGUUCCGGACUCUAGGUUAUGCUGAUUGAUAAGAAUAAAUCCUCCUCAAUAAUCAGGAUCUACAUUAGAAAAGUCUUAGGCUUCUGUAUCCUUGAGUAAAGACACACCCUUCUGCCUUUAGCAUUCCUCUCAAGAUGACAUGCCAGUUCAAGGGAAGGCUUUGAACCUCUCAUUCCUGGUGCCAUCUCAUCUGCAUUAACCAGACCACUUAGAUAAGAUGCUGCGGCUUGUCUUAAGUGUAUGCACCCCUGUCCUAAACUCCAGCAGUAUGUAUUACAACUACAAGUGGCUUCUUCAGCAAGAUCUUAGAGUUUCAGCUGCACUUUUUACUGAAUAAUAUAAUUAGCUGCUGUUGUACCUCUUGGUGUAGGCUAAAGCAUCUUUCUCCACUAAUCUGAAAUCUGAAAGAUAAAGAUGGUUAGAACAAAUUCUCCUAGUAUUGUGAUUAUUUUCUGCUCUUUUUUGGACACAAAAGUAGGAUAUGACAUGCUUUUAUGGAAAAUUAUUUAAUAUGUUCAAGUCCAGGGAAUACAAUAACACUUCCAUCACAAUGGGAUUGGAUUAAGUGAUAAAGAAACCCAGCCACAAAUGUGAAGUAGAAAGCCCCUGUUUCAUUACUUUUCUUCUAAUUACCAAAUCAUACAUUAUAAAAACUAAGUCAAUAAUAUUAUUUCAUUUCAAUUUAACAUGAU